GGCUUCGUAGCUCAAUUUGUAGAGUGCUUCCGCGCUUGAACAUGCUAUUUCUGUUGCUGGUUCGAGUUCAGCCGAAGCCU
Molecule: non-coding RNA, 80 nt
Organism: Paragonimus heterotremus
Lineage: Eukaryota; Metazoa; Platyhelminthes; Trematoda; Plagiorchiida; Troglotrematidae
Source: the annotation of a GenBank genome assembly